RNAcentral lists this ribosomal RNA (465 nucleotides) under uncultured bacterium. RNAcentral describes it as "partial 16S ribosomal RNA". It matches the Rfam family "Bacterial small subunit ribosomal RNA", at positions 338 to 795 of the family's 1533-position model. The record is from RNAcentral.
CCUACGGGGGGCUGCAGUAGGGAAUCUUCCGCAAUGGGCGCAAGCCUGAUGGAGCAACACCGCGUGAGUGAAGAAGGUUUUCGGCUCGUAAAGCUCUGUUGUUGGAGAAGAACGUGCGUGAGAGUAACUGUUCACGCAGUGACGGUAUCCAACCAGAAAGUCACGGCUAACUACGUGCCAGCAGCCGCGGUAAUACGUAGGUGGCAAGCAUUAUCCGGAGUUAUUGGGCGUAAAGCGAGCGCAGGCGGUUGCUUAGGUCUGAUGUGAAAGCCCUCGGCUUAACCGAAGAAGGGCAUCGGAAACCGGGAGACUUGAGUGCAGAAGAGGACAGUGGAACUCCAUGUGUAGCGGUGGAAUGCGCAGAGAUAUGGAAGAACACCAGUGGCGAAGGCGGCUGUCUGGUCUGUAACUGACGCUGAGGCUCGAAAGCAUGGGUAGCGAACAGGAUUAGAUACCCGGGUAGUC